GUAUUGAUUGUGCAUUAUCACAAAUAGUAAGACAUUCUACACAUGCAGUGGUUUUGUAUAAAAACGCAAAUGCCCCCUUUUGGAACAAACCAAAAGGAGAGCACCCACGCGGUGAUUCACAAAGGGGUGAGAUGGAUUGUAAGAGAGCACCGGAGCGUGCACAAAGUCAGCGACAGCCCUUGCACCUCAGUUUUACGAUAAUGAUCCUUCCGCAGGUUCACCUACGGAAA
Molecule: unclassified non-coding RNA, 230 nt
Filed under: uncultured fungus
Lineage: Eukaryota; Fungi
Description: sequence contains ITS1
Source: RNAcentral